RNAcentral lists this non-coding RNA (21 nucleotides) under Caenorhabditis elegans. Lineage: Eukaryota; Metazoa; Nematoda; Chromadorea; Rhabditida; Rhabditidae. The record is from RNAcentral.
UACCGCAGUUUUUAUUCUGAA